This 433-nucleotide ribosomal RNA is filed under the name uncultured bacterium. RNAcentral describes it as "partial 16S ribosomal RNA". It matches the Rfam family "Bacterial small subunit ribosomal RNA", at positions 29 to 507 of the family's 1533-position model. The record is from RNAcentral.
AACGAACGCUGGCGGCAUGCCUAACACAUGCAAGUCGAACGAGACCUUCGGGUCUAGUGGCGCACGGGUGCGUAACGCGUGGGAACCUGCCCUUAGGUUCGGAAUAACUCCCCGAAAGGGGUGCUAAUACCGGAUAAUGUCUUCGGACCAAAGAUUUAUCGCCUUUGGAUGGGCCCGCGUUGGAUUAGCUAGUUGGUAGGGUAAAAGCCUACCAAGGCGACGAUCCAUAGCUGGUCUGAGAGGAUGAUCAGCCACACUGGGACUGAGACACGGCCCAGACUCCUACGGGAGGCAGCAGUGGGGAAUAUUGGACAAUGGGCGAAAGCCUGAACCAGCAAUGCCGCGUGAGUGAUGAAGGCCUUAGGGUUGUAAAGCUCUUUUACCCGGGAUGAUAAUGACGGUACCGGGAGAAUAAGCUCCGGCUAACUCCGUG